This 387-nucleotide long non-coding RNA is filed under the name Theobroma cacao (cacao). RNAcentral describes it as "long non-coding RNA (TCAC_LNC004421)". Lineage: Eukaryota; Viridiplantae; Streptophyta; Magnoliopsida; Malvales; Malvaceae. The record is from RNAcentral.
CUAAAUAUGUUCAUACAUACUUUAAAUCAGAUAACUGAAGUAUAAAAUUACUUUUACAGUGACACGUGGGCCCCCAACUGACCAAAAUGCAUCGAAAGUUGAAAACCUACAACUUUUGCCAAUUCAAGUCCAAAUGAAGGUUCUUGUCAAAAUCAGCUAACUAUGGAAUUUCCUAAGCCUGAAAUGUGAGGAAAGGAGGGUGGUGAGAUUAUAAAAUCCCAGUGAGUAAACAGACACCAUCUAAACUAUCUAAAGGCGAGUAAAUGGAGACGAAUUAAAAUAUCCUUUUCCAAUAUAUGUUUCAUAACAUGAAUAUUCAGUUUACUCAAUUAAUCAACAUGGCUUAUGUAUCUCACAAAACUUGGCUCCUGCCAAAAUCAUUCUCGU